This 254-nucleotide ribosomal RNA is filed under the name uncultured bacterium. Its description in RNAcentral is "partial 16S ribosomal RNA". It matches the Rfam family "Bacterial small subunit ribosomal RNA", at positions 526 to 779 of the family's 1533-position model. The record is from RNAcentral.
CGUAGGGCGCAAGCGUUGUCCGGAAUUAUUGGGCGUAAAGAGCUCGUAGGCGGUCUGUCGCGUCUGGUGUGAAAUCCCAUGGCUCAACUGUGGGCUUGCAUCGGGUACGGGCAGACUAGAGUGCUGUAGGGGAGACUGGAAUUCCUGGUGUAGCGGUGGAAUGCGCAGAUAUCAGGAGGAACACCGAUGGCGAAGGCAGGUCUCUGGGCAGUUACUGACGCUGAGGAGCGAAAGCAUGGGGAGCGAACAGGAUU